AGGAACAGGUGGGCCUUGAUCCCACAAAUAUUAGUUAACAGCUAACU
RNAcentral lists this transfer RNA (47 nucleotides) under Anolis humilis (humble anole). Its description in RNAcentral is "tRNA-Asx". The record is from RNAcentral. Lineage: Eukaryota; Metazoa; Chordata; Lepidosauria; Squamata; Anolidae.